Molecule: non-coding RNA, 419 nt
Organism: Misgurnus anguillicaudatus (oriental weatherfish)
Lineage: Eukaryota; Metazoa; Chordata; Actinopteri; Cypriniformes; Cobitidae
Source: RefSeq, a predicted model, not a curated record
CCUUGUAAAUUUUUAAGCUAUGAGAACAAAAGUAUUGGGACGUAACUCUUAUUUACUGAACUGGAAACAAAUCACAAUAUCAGUUGAUAAUAUUACAGGCAAAUACAAUAUUUCAUAUGAAAAGGCUCAUGAAUUCAACAAUCCAACUCUAAAGAUUAUGGACAAGAAUGUGAAUGCAACUUGGGCCCAUGUGAAAGACUUCACAAAGCAUUCAACUCCUAAUGUCCAUUGUUGGCUUGUGCCGUUCGAUGAUGUGAUGAACAGGAAAAUUUCUGAUUUCAUUGUUACUCAGAUAUAGAGUAUAAAAAAAUACAAAGCAAAAAAAGUGUCAUCUGAUAUAUUUUGAUGGUUCAUUUAUUCUUUCAAGUAAAUGCUUAAGUGGUUGAAUCACCAAAUUUAAUAAAGCACAUUACAAGUGA